GUCGAGCGGUAAGGCCCUUCGGGGUACACGAGCGGCGAACGGGUGAGUAACACGUGAGCAACCUGCCCCUGACUCUGGGAUAAGCGGUGGAAACGCCGUCUAAUACCGGAUACGACCCGCCACCUCAUGGUGGAGGGUGGAAAGUUUUUCGGUCAGGGAUGGGCUCGCGGCCUAUCAGCUUGUUGGUGGGGUAACGGCCUACCAAGGCGAUUACGGGUAGCCGGCCUGAGAGGGCGACCGGCCACACUGGGACUGAGACACGGCCCAGACUCCUGCGGGAGGCAGCAGUGGGGAAUAUUGCGCAAUGGGCGAAAGCCUGACGCAGCGACGCCGCGUGGGGGAUGACGGCCUUCGGGUUGUAAACCUCUUUUACCACCAACGCAGGCUUCCAGUUCUCUGGAGGUUGACGGUAGGUGGGGAAUAAGGACCGGCUAACUACGUGCCAGCAGCCGCGGUAAUACGUAGGGUCCGAGCGUUGUCCGGAAUUAUUGGGCGUAAAGAGCUCGUAGGCGGCGUGUCGCGUCUGCUGUGAAAGACCGGGGCUUAACUCCGGUUCUGCAGUGGAUACGGGCAUGCUAGAGGUAGGUAGGGGAGACUGGAAUUCCUGGUGUAGCGGUGAAAUGCGCAGAUAUCAGGAGGAACACCGGUGGCGAAGGCGGGUCUCUGGGCCUUACCUGACGCUGAGGAGCGAAAGCAUGGGGAGCGAACAGGAUUAGAUACCCUGGUAGUCCAUGCCGUAAACGUUGGGCGCUAGGUGUGGGGACUUUCCACGGUUUCCGCGCCGUAGCUAACGCAUUAAGCGCCCCGCCUGGGGAGUACGGCCGCAAGGCUAAAACUCAAAGGAAUUGACGGGGGCCCGCACAAGCGGCGGAGCAUGUUGCUUAAUUCGACGCAACGCGAAGAACCUUACCAAGGUUUGACAUCACCCGUGGACUC
RNAcentral lists this ribosomal RNA (936 nucleotides) under Nocardiopsis sp. RNAcentral's name for it is "bacterial SSU rRNA". It matches the Rfam family "Bacterial small subunit ribosomal RNA", at positions 61 to 1000 of the family's 1533-position model. Lineage: Bacteria; Bacillati; Actinomycetota; Actinomycetes; Streptosporangiales; Nocardiopsidaceae. The record is from RNAcentral.